ACGGAAGGCAGCAGUGAGGAAUAUUGGUCAAUGGACGGAAGUCUGAACCAGCCAUGCCGCGUGCAGGAAGACGGCCCUAUGGGUUGUAAACUGCUUUUGUGGUGGAGCAAUAAGGCGUACGUGUACGCCGAUGAGAGUACAUCACGAAUAAGCAUCGGCUAACUCCGUGCCAGCAGCCGCGGUAAUACGGAGGAUGCAAGCGUUAUCCGGAUUUAUUGGGUUUAAAGGGUGCGUAGGCUGUGCAGCAAGUCAGAGGUGAAAGCCCGGUGCUUAACACCGGAACUGCCUUUGAUACUGUUGUGCUGGAGUACGGAUGCCGUGGGAGGAAUGAGUAGUGUAGCGGUGAAAUGCAUAGAUAUUACUCAGAACACCGAUUGCGAAGGCAUCUCACGAAUCCGUCAUUGACGCUGAGGCACGAAAGUGUGGGGAUCAAACAGGAUUAGAUACCCUGGUA
This 454-nucleotide ribosomal RNA is filed under the name uncultured Rikenellaceae bacterium. RNAcentral's name for it is "partial 16S ribosomal RNA". It matches the Rfam family "Bacterial small subunit ribosomal RNA", at positions 341 to 792 of the family's 1533-position model. Lineage: Bacteria; Pseudomonadati; Bacteroidota; Bacteroidia; Bacteroidales; Rikenellaceae. The record is from RNAcentral.